UACAGAGGUCCCAAGCGUUGUUCGGAUUCACUGGGCGUAAAGCGCACGUAGGCGGAUUGUUAAGUCAGGGGUGAAAUCCUGGAGCUCAACUCCAGAACUGCCUUUGAUACUGACGGUCUUGAGUUCGGGAGAGGUGAGGGGAACUGCGAGUGUAGAGGUGAAAUUCGUAGAUAUUCGCAAGAACACCAGUGGCGAAGGCGGCUCACUGGCCCGAUACUGAAGCUGAGGUGCGAAAGCGUGGGGAGCAAACAGG
This 253-nucleotide ribosomal RNA is filed under the name uncultured bacterium. RNAcentral describes it as "partial 16S ribosomal RNA". It matches the Rfam family "Bacterial small subunit ribosomal RNA", at positions 524 to 776 of the family's 1533-position model. The record is from RNAcentral.